This 75-nucleotide small RNA is filed under the name Allorhizobium ampelinum S4. Its description in RNAcentral is "Agrobacterium vitis S4 suhB". The stretch from base 1 to 65 matches the Rfam family "Alphaproteobacterial ar15", at positions 44 to 112 of the family's 112-position model. Lineage: Bacteria; Pseudomonadati; Pseudomonadota; Alphaproteobacteria; Hyphomicrobiales; Rhizobiaceae. The record is from RNAcentral.
AGCUGUUCCCCUCUGGAGGUUUGACGACCUUCACACUUGAAGCAUCCGUUCGCGGGUGCUUUUUUUUGGCCGCUC